Neomonachus schauinslandi (Hawaiian monk seal) is the source of this 146-nucleotide long non-coding RNA. RefSeq lists it as uncharacterized. The record is from RefSeq and is a predicted model, not a curated record. The transcript has 3 exons. Lineage: Eukaryota; Metazoa; Chordata; Mammalia; Carnivora; Phocidae.
CAACACCCGCUCAGAUGAAGCACCUAAGAGUAUCAGCGAUAAACACUGCUUUAGAGAGUCUGAGAUUCUGAGUGGGAGAAUUUCUCAGGAUGCUACAAAGGGUACAAUCCAACAUCAUUAUACAAGUAUAUCAUCUAUCUGAGAAG